RNAcentral lists this ribosomal RNA (194 nucleotides) under uncultured Enterobacteriaceae bacterium. RNAcentral describes it as "partial 16S ribosomal RNA". It matches the Rfam family "Bacterial small subunit ribosomal RNA", at positions 337 to 523 of the family's 1533-position model. Lineage: Bacteria; Pseudomonadati; Pseudomonadota; Gammaproteobacteria; Enterobacterales; Enterobacteriaceae. The record is from RNAcentral.
UCCUACGGGAGGCAGCAGUGGGGAAUAUUGCACAAUGGGCGCAAGCCUGAUGCAGCCAUGCCGCGUGUAUGAAGAAGGCCUUAGGGUUGUAAAGUACUUUCAGCGGGGAGGAAGGUGAUAAAGUUAAUACCUUUAUCAAUUGACGUUACCCGCAGAAGAAGCACCGGCUAACUCCGUGCCAGCAGCCGCGGUAA